RNAcentral lists this unclassified non-coding RNA (276 nucleotides) under uncultured fungus. Its description in RNAcentral is "sequence contains ITS2". The record is from RNAcentral. Lineage: Eukaryota; Fungi.
AACAAAUACCUCAGGCCAAAAAGCUCUUUUUUGGACCCUGGAUCUAGGCUGUGAAGUUUAUUCUGCAGCCGACCUCGAACGAGAGCUUUUGUUCUCUUUCCAGGGUCGGCCAGCCUGAAAUGCAUCCCACCGCGGCAAGGGAAAGAAAGGCGUGAUAGUUUGACCUCCGAGUCGAUCUUUUCGCCGAAGAAAACUCUCCCCGCGGCGAUUAGCAGGACCCGACGAAAGCGACCGGCCGGAGGCAAUUCUCCGGUUUUGGUUGUCUUUUGAUCUUCA